RNA transcript from Drosophila pseudoobscura, 362 nucleotides. RefSeq lists it as uncharacterized. The record is from RefSeq and is a predicted model, not a curated record. NCBI's taxonomy places the organism in Eukaryota, Metazoa, Arthropoda, Insecta, Diptera, Drosophilidae. The transcript has 2 exons.
CCAACUUUAAUCAGCAAUUUAAAAUAAUUUAAAGCAAUUUAGUAUUCGUGAUAGAGUGAGAGUUGCGCACAAGAUUCGUUGCCCUGAUAGGGCUUAUCGCAUCUCGGACCUCAGCUUGACUUUAGUCUCGAUUUGUCCGCCAAUAUAAGCGCACAUCAGCAUGAAACACUUGCGCCUCUUUCUCGUUUUAUUAUUAGUCUGGUUAGCCAGUGCCCAAAACUUUUUAGGCGAUUUGCCUACGAUCCCGAACGUGUGCCACCUGCAGGGAGACUGGUGCUCCACCAGGUGCCAGAUAGCAGGCGGACGGGAUGGCAUUUGCAACCCGGCUGGACUCUGCACUUGUCAUCCCUUGUGAUUGUGUG